AUAAGCUGAGACCCUUGCUGCGAUCCAUCUUCUUCUAAUACUUUUUGAGCCAAACGGGCUUCUUGAGAUAAAGAAUUGAGAACAUUUAAUAGAUCAUGUCCGGUGUCUCUCUCAACCUCUUGAAAACGAAGUUGGAGGGAAGAGAGAUUCUGCCUUAAUUCGCUCGAAAUCAAAUCAACUUUCUGUAAUAGUUCUUGAUAUAUCUCAAUUAUUACGCCCUCCUGAUUUUGAUUCUGGUGAUUUUGAUCAGUAUUUUUCUCUUCUACUACAUUAUCCUUCUGUUCUUGAAAUUCGCGUAUACAUUCAUUGAUAAACUGUUUAGCAAAGGCAAUUGUUUCAGUUUCAUGUUUUAUGGAUGAUUUUUCAAACUGUUUUACAAUGCUACUUGUAUUGGUGACACUUCCUUUAACCAUUUUUAAAUCCGACUAUGUUCGCGGUUGGAUUGAAAUUCGUUUACAAAUACUAAUAAGUUAAAAUGAGGGUCGCAUUGGUAACGACAAAUAAGAGUGAUUAUUGAAAGAAA
This is a non-coding RNA of Schizosaccharomyces pombe (fission yeast), 523 nucleotides long. The record is from the annotation of a GenBank genome assembly. Lineage: Eukaryota; Fungi; Ascomycota; Schizosaccharomycetes; Schizosaccharomycetales; Schizosaccharomycetaceae.